Cucumis melo (muskmelon) is the source of this 4768-nucleotide RNA transcript. RefSeq lists it as uncharacterized. Lineage: Eukaryota; Viridiplantae; Streptophyta; Magnoliopsida; Cucurbitales; Cucurbitaceae. The record is from RefSeq and is a predicted model, not a curated record. The transcript is spliced from 4 exons.
GGAUACAUUUCUAGCCUUGUCUUCUUUGUUGCGUUAUUAUGAUAUGUCUAUGAUACACUUAGUCCAAAUCUAGCCUAGAUAGAGUUCAAAAAGGAUAGGAGCUUCUCUUUAGAAGUUGAUAAGGCUUUAACACUUUUGUCUUGUCAACAUGAAGUUGGAAACCUCUUGUCUAGCCACAAUGAACUAGAUCCCUUAGAAAAGAUUAGGCAUUGAUGAAACUUGUCACCUCGAAAGGAGCAAUUAAACUAGAAACUAAGUUUAGAUCCAUAGAAAGGUACCCCACUAGUUCUAGCAAGGCCUAGUUACUGUACUGCAUACCAAAGAAAAAAACAAAUAGGCUUGCAAAAAGAGCAAAUGCAUACAUAAAAAAAAAAAAUUGAGGUAACCAAGAGCUAAAAAAAUAAUACCAAAAAAGUGAAUGCAAUAUGCAUAAGAAAAAAGCUCGUAAAAAAGUGAGAAGCCGGGUAGGUCAAGUAAUUGUGUUGGGUUCCCUAACUAUCAGAACUUUUAUCAGAAAACUUAACUAAGUAAAACCAGACAACCUUCCCUUAGUGUUCUAAACAUAGCAUCUAGUUUGAAGAGAACUUUGAAAAGAGGAGGAAUCCUUCUCGAUCCAUAAGUAGGGGAAAACGAGUCUAAGGUGUUUUCAAUCUUUUCAUAGGAUGUCUAGCAUCUGAGUAGCAAAAUUUGAGCGUCUUUCUAAAACGUGCUUGUUUUGGACGAACUUAGUUAAACCCGAACCUUAAGCGAUAAUUUGUAUUCUCUUUGAUAAUUUGAACUAGGUUGAAGCAUAGGUUUGGAUAGACUAUUAAGGCAUUAAGUAACGGAGUUUGGAUGACUUGUUAGAAAUGUAUCACCAAUAUACUUGCAUGAUUGUUUGUUUUUCUUCUUAAGUUGAUGUUUGCUUCCUAUGCAUGCUGCUUGACUGUUUGAUAUUCAUAUUACUCUGCUCGGGAUGAAGCUUAAGUGGAGGGUAAUUUGUUGGGGCAAAUAUUGACUCGUUUAAAGAUAGCUUAUUCUUAAUCCAUAUCAUGCACAUGUUCAUUAUUUUAAUAUUUUUAUGCAGUCGUACACCUUUUUUUGGAACGAACGCCACAAGUUCUUAAAUUAGGCAUAUUUUCUUUGGUGGAAAUGCAUUUUCACUGGUUUUUUACCUCGAACAAACGUUCGCCACUUUUUGAAAGCAUUUGUCAUCUUUUCGACCGUUUUGGGUUGCACUUUAGUCCUCCCUCCAAUGAGCUUACUUUCUAGCCUAUAUUCUAAGGAAAAUGUGGAAGGGAUAAUGCCACGAAUGUAGACUAAAGUCUUCAAAAUUUGAAUUCCUAAUCUAGAAAGGCUUAUCACCGAUACAAAACAUAAAAACCAUUGAAUGACCACUUUUGACGGCAAAAUAAAAAAACUAAGACCGAGGCAUUGUCAUUUGUCUUUUUUGGGACGAACACUAGAAGUUCUUAAACUUGGCCUAUUUUGUUUGCUGAAAAUGCAUUGUCAGUGGUUUUUAACACCGGACAAAUGUUUUCCACUUUUUAGAAGCAUCGGCCAUCUUUCCGACCAUUUUAGGUUGAAUCUUAGUCAUCCCUCCAACAAGCUUGCUUCCCGACCUAUACUUUAGAAAAAUAUCAAGAAUGUAGAAUGGAGUCUUUGGAGUUUUAAUUCCUAAGCUAGAAAGGCUUACAACCAAUACAAAACAUAGAAACUGUUGAAGGACCACUUUUGAUCCCAAAAUAAAAAAACUAAGUCUUGGGAAUUGUGGUUCAGUUGUUUUUGGGACGAACACCAGAAGUUCUUAAACUUGGCCCACUUUGUUUCCUAGAAAUGCAUUUUCAAUGAUUUUUGAUACCGGACAAACGUUCACCAGUUUUUGGAAUCAUUGGCCACCUAUUCGACCAUUUUGGGUUGCACCUUAGUUCUCCCUCCAACGAGCUCGCUUUCCAACCUAUAGUCUAGAAAAUGUGUAAGGGAUCAUGCUAGGAAUUUAGACUGAAGCCUUUCGAGUUUGAAUUCCUAAGCUAGAAUGGACCAAUACAAAACAUAGAAAUCGUUGAAUGACCACUUUUGACGGCAAAAUAAAAAACUGAAUACAAGGCAUUAUCGUUCGCCUCUUUUUGGGACGCACACCAGAAGUUCUUAAACUUGACCCAUUUUUUUGCUGGAAAUGCAUUGUAUGUGGUUUUUGACGCCGGAUAAACGUUUGCCACUUUUGGAAGCAUUGGCCAUCUUUUCGAUCGUUUUGGGUUAAACCUUAGUCUUCACUCCAAUGAGCUUGCUUCCGAACCUAUACUUUGGAAAAAUGUGUAAGUGACGAUGCCAGGAAUGUAGACUGGAGCCUUCAGAGUUUGGAUUCCUAAGCUAGAAAGGCUUACGACCAAUAAAAAACAUAAAAACCGUUGCAGAACCACUUUUAACCCCAAAAUAAAAACCUAAUUCCAAGGAAUUUUCGUUCGGCUACUUUUGGGACGUACACCAGAACUUCUUAAACUUUGCCAUCUUUCUUUGUUGGAAUUGCAUUUUCAGUGGUUUGUGACACCAGACAAACAUACACCACUUUUUGGAAGCAUUGGAGUUAGGGCAAUUAUUAACCCAUUUAUUUGUUAACUAUUCUCAAUCCACAGUAUACAUAUAUUCAUUAUUUUGAUUUUUGAGAAGAAUAUGAAAGAUGACUCCGAUAUGAACCCAACGCAACAAAAAUCAACUAAAACGGAGUCCAAACGAAGAAGAACGACCAAUUUGAAAAAUAUAUGCAAAUUGGUAAAUAUUCAAAAAGUCGUGACAUGCGUCAGUCAUCCACACACACGAAUAACCCAGACGUCACGAGUUUGAACCCCAAGCGAAGAGUUUAUUUUCCCGAUUUCUCAAAGCCAAAAGGACGUCAUUUUCAACCUCCCCUCUGCAACGUCAUCGGUUCGAAUCCCACAAACACGAAAUAAAAUCAAAUUUAUUCAAAUCCAUUCGCGCGUGCAUUAAUCCAACUUCGCCACUCUCCCUUCGCAAUGUGUCAGCUCUUGGUCGUGCACACCUCCUCCAUCCCACUCGAGUUCGAUCCUCAACGGCUGGAAAUUACAUUUUGAAGCAUAUUUUAGUGGCAUUUUUAUAAUUCUUUUGCAAAAAUUCAAAAAAUAACCAACUUUUCUGUCAUUUGAACAUGGAUGGCCUUUAGGUUCCAAUGCUUUUUAUGGUCAAAUAUUUUCUAUAUAUACCCAUUUUCCUCUAAAUUCAUCAUAUUCCAUCAUCAAUUCACUAUUUUCUCUCAAAUAAAUCUCAAAUUCUCCCAAAAUUCUCUCAAACUCCAUAAAUUACUUCUCCAUUCUGCCUUUUUCUGUUCUCUCAAUUUCCAGAAUUAUUUCUUGAUGGAAGGCUAAUCACCAAGAGGGGGAGGUUCCUAAAGUUGUCUCUUGUGGAGUAUGUGGCUUGCUAGGCCACCACAAUGAUCAAUGUCCAGAGAUUAAAGAGGUAAGUGUCAUGGGAGGUUAUAAAAGAAAUUAUUCACAGAGUAACACCUACAACUCUGGAUGGAGGGAUGAUCCAAAUCUUAGAUGGGACUCUUAAGAACCAAAACUUACCAACACAUUUUCAUCAUAAUCAUCACGAGGUACAUACCUAGAGGAAAUAGUCUCCAGGUUAGCUCUUAGCUCAAAUAGUUUUUAAACCGAUUUUGAGAAAGACUUAGUUAAGUUUUGUGAGCAAACUGUUGAUUCAACUGGAGCCAUGAAAAAUGAUAUAGAGAUCAUGAAAGCAUCCAUUUCCGAAUUAGGAGAAAAGCUUAAUCAAUUAGCAACACACGUUCUUAAAACAAAAGGGAAAGGCAAACUUUCCGUCCAAUCCAACCAUUCAAAUGUGACUGCUAUUACUUUAAGAAGUUGCAAAAUUUUGAAUAAGAAUGAUGAUUUCUUUUUGUCUCAAAAUGAUCUUAACUUAGAGAAUGUUGAUUCAAAUGCCAAAGAAGAAAAGAAGGUUAUCUCAACCAAGGAAGGAAUUCAAGGAUGAUGAAGAACUUUUUGAAGUCUUCAAGAAGGUAGAAGUAAACCUACCCUUCUUGACGGAAAUCAAGAGCAUACCAAGCAAGGAAAGACAAGAACAAAAAUGAAUAGAGGAACUAAACCGCUCGUCAUCGAUCCUGGAUGAGUUGGUGAAAGAACGGUCAAGCAACUGACCAUAAAAAUCUACGCUUCUUGGAGGCAGCCAGGCGUCAAAUUUUUAUACCAUAUUCUCAAUCCAUAGUAUGCAUAUAUUCAUUAUUUUAAUAUUUCUUAUAGAAUGUGAAAGAAGACUCUGAUAUGAACCCAACGCAAUAAAAAUCACCUAAAACGGAGUUCAAACGAAGAAGAACGAGCAAUUUGAAAAUAAGGGCAAAUUGGUAAAUAUUCAAAAAUUGUGACACGCAUCAGCCAUCCACAUGCACGAACAACCCAGACAUCACGAGUUCAAACCCCAAGUGAAGCAUUUAUUUUCUAGAUUUCUCAAAACCAAAACGUGGUCAUUCUGAUCCUCCCCUCCGAGACAUACGCCAUCAGUUCAAAUCCCACGAGAUGUGAAAUAAAACCGAAUUUAUUCAAAUCCAUCCUUGUGCAUGUUAAUCCGACUUUGCCACUCUCCCUUUGCCACGUGUCAGCUCCUAAUCACGUGCGCCUUUUCCGUACCACUCGAGUUCCAUCCUCAAUGGCUGCAAAUUACUUUAAGAAUAUUUCAGUGGCAUUUUCGUAAUUCUUUUGCAAAAAUCAAAAAAUAACCAAAUUUUCCAUCAUUUGAAGCUCGCGGUUGGCCUUGGGGU